AUACGACCAAGCCAAGGCACAAGCACAAGUCACAACGCCCUAGAGUAGAGGCUGAGCUGCAUAUAUCACCGAGCACCCUCUCUCUCUCUGUUCCCCUCCCUCGCUCGACAUGGAGGUCGCCGCCGCCACUUGUACGCUCCUUGCUGCCGUCGCCCUACCAGUUUCGUCCUCAGCAGCAGCAGCACGCUCUGCGACGAAACAGAGCUACUCGAGGAGGAAGACGACGGCCGUGCGAGCCGUCAUGGCGAGGCCGCAUCAGGUGCCGCCGCCUGCCACUGCCACCGCCACCGCCACCACGUACCGCGACAACUGGUUCGACAAGCUGGCCAUCGGGUACCUGUCCCGGAACCUUCAAGAAGCUUCUGGGAUGAAGAACGGAAAGGACGGCUACGAGGGCCUGAUAGAGGCGGCCCUGGCCAUCUCCGCGCUGUUCAGGGUUGACCAGCAGUGGGACACUGUGGCCAGCGCUCUCCAACGGGCCUUCCCCAGCUACAUCCUCACCAUGAUCAAGGUGAUGAUGCCACCCUCUCGAUUCUCGCGGGAGUAUUUCGCCGCCUUCACCACGGUGUUCUUCCCUUGGCUCGUCGGACCAUGUGAGGGAAUCCCAAGUGGAUGGAAGGGAAGAGAGGAACGUGGUCUACAUACCCAAAUGCAGAUUUCUGGAAAGCACCAACUGUGUCGGAAUGUGCACGAACCUCUGCAAAAUCCCAUGCCAGAGGUUCAUCCAGGAUUCACUUGGCACGGCUGUCUACAUGUCUCCCAAUUUUGAGGACAUGAGCUGCGAGAUGAUCUUUGGACAGCAACCACCUGAAGAUGAUCCAGCACUGAAGCAGCCCUGCUUCCGGACAAAAUGCAUCGCAAAGCAGAAUCAUCAAGUGAAUUGCUCUAUUUGAUUUGAGAGGAAGUGGAUAUGUAAAUUACUAUACUACUAUCAGUGGAAAUUCCCAAAAUUACAUGCUUUCAUGUUUAUUCCCUUAGUAAGCAGCAUCAGUUUCAUAGAUUCUUUUUACUUGAAAACAUAGCAGAAGGCAAUUCUAGUAUACGUCAAAUUGUUAGGAAACUGGUUGCUGAUCAAGAGGAUUGAAGAGGAAACACAAGAUAUGCCUUUGGAAAAUGCACAGGAUUUUAGUGAAUCCCUUGUAAGAAAGAUAUAUUAAAGAAGUGUGAAGAAUGGAAUUACCCAUA
RNA transcript from Zea mays, 1185 nucleotides. RefSeq lists it as uncharacterized. The transcript has 7 exons. The record is from RefSeq and is marked validated. NCBI's taxonomy places the organism in Eukaryota, Viridiplantae, Streptophyta, Magnoliopsida, Poales, Poaceae.